This 73-nucleotide transfer RNA is filed under the name Acyrthosiphon pisum (pea aphid). It matches the Rfam family "tRNA". Rfam says of the family: Transfer RNA (tRNA) molecules are approximately 80 nucleotides in length. Their secondary structure includes four short double-helical elements and three loops (D, anti-codon, and T loops). Further hydrogen bonds mediate the characteristic L-shaped molecular structure. tRNAs have two regions of fundamental functional importance: the anti-codon, which is responsible for specific mRNA codon recognition, and the 3' end, to which the tRNAs corresponding amino acid is attached (by aminoacyl-tRNA synthetases). tRNAs cope with the degeneracy of the genetic code in two manners: having more than one tRNA (with a specific anti-codon) for a particular amino acid; and 'wobble' base-pairing, i.e. permitting non-standard base-pairing at the 3rd anti-codon position. The record is from Rfam by way of RNAcentral. Lineage: Eukaryota; Metazoa; Arthropoda; Insecta; Hemiptera; Aphididae.
GCCUCCAUAGUUCAGUAGUUAGAUUACUGGUCUUCUAAACCAGGGGUUGAGAGUUCAAUUCUCUCUAGAGGCA